AGAGUUUGAUCCUAGCUCAGAGCGAACGCUGGCGGCACGCUUAACACAUGCAAGUCGAACGAGAUAUAACUUCGGUUAUGUCUAGUGGCGCACGGGUGAGUAAUACUUGAGAAUCUACCCAUGAGUGGGGGAUACCUGCGGGAAACCGCAGUUAAUACCGCAUAAUCUCGAAAGAGCAAAGAUUUAUCGCUUAUGGAUGAGCUCAGGCCAGAUUAGAUAGUUGGUGGGGUAAUGGCCUACCAAGUCAAUGAUCUGUAGCCGGUCUGAGAGGAUGGUCGGCCACACUGGGACUGAGAACGGCCCAGACCUCUACGGAGGGCAGCAGUGGGGAAUAUUGGACAAUGGGGGCAACCCUGAUCCAGCGAUGCCGCGUGGAUGAAGAAGGUUUACGGAUUGUAAAGUCCUUUCACUCAUGAAUAUGAUGACAGUAAUGAGAGAAGAAGCUCCGGCUAAGUCUGUGCCAGCAGCCGCGGUAAUACAGGCGGAGCGAGUGUUGCUCGGAAUCACUGGGCGUAAAGGGUGUGUAGGCUGUUUUAUAAGUGGAAUGUUAAAGAUCUAGGCUCAACCUAGUUAUGCAUUUCAUACUGUAAAACUUGAGUAUGGUAGAGGAAGUAGGAAUUUCUGGAGUAACGGUGAUAUGUGUAGAUCCCAGAAGGAACACCAAAGGCGAAGGCAAGCUUCUAGGCCAAUACUGACGCUGAGACACGAAAGCGUGGGGAGCAAACAGGAUUAGAUACCCUGGUAGUCCACGCC
RNAcentral lists this ribosomal RNA (753 nucleotides) under invertebrate metagenome. Its description in RNAcentral is "bacterial SSU rRNA". It matches the Rfam family "Bacterial small subunit ribosomal RNA", at positions 8 to 801 of the family's 1533-position model. The record is from RNAcentral.